Molecule: non-coding RNA, 72 nt
Organism: Phrynosoma platyrhinos (Desert horned lizard)
Lineage: Eukaryota; Metazoa; Chordata; Lepidosauria; Squamata; Phrynosomatidae
Source: the annotation of a GenBank genome assembly
GACCAUGUAGUGUAGUGGUUUUAUGUUGAACCAGGACCCCAGAGGGCCAGGGUUUGAGUCCCUGCUUGAUCA